AAUGAGAAUCACUGAAAGGUCAUCCUUAAGUAUUUGAGAAAUACUAAGGAUUGAUGGUUCGGUUAUGAAGAAUCUGAUUUAAAACUUAUAGAGUAUGACUUUAGUUUUUUAGUUGGAUAUAAUAAUAGAAAAAAUAUAUCAAGCAAUUUGCUGAAAAAGUUUCAAGUAAAGCAAUAUAGCCAAAUUCAAAUAGUGAGGCAGAAUGCAUUGCAUCAUUCGAUGCUUGCAAAAAAGCUA
This 237-nucleotide long non-coding RNA is filed under the name Elaeis guineensis (African oil palm). RNAcentral's name for it is "long non-coding RNA (EGUI_LNC044178)". The record is from RNAcentral. Lineage: Eukaryota; Viridiplantae; Streptophyta; Magnoliopsida; Arecales; Arecaceae.